RNAcentral lists this long non-coding RNA (324 nucleotides) under Setaria italica (foxtail millet). RNAcentral's name for it is "long non-coding RNA (SITA_LNC000747)". The record is from RNAcentral. Lineage: Eukaryota; Viridiplantae; Streptophyta; Magnoliopsida; Poales; Poaceae.
ACGAGGACCUCGUCUGGAUCCACGACUACCACCUCCUGGCGCUCCCCACCUUCCUCCGCAAGCGAUUCCCUCGCGCCAAGGUCGGAUUCUUCCUCCACUCGCCGUUCCCCUCGUCGGAGAUCUUCCGAACAAUCCCCGUCCGGGAUGACCUCGUCCGCGCCCUCCUCAACGCGGACCUCGUCGGCUUCCACACCUUCGACUACGCGCGGCACUUCCUGUCCGCGUGCUCCCGGCUGCUCGGCCUGGACUACCAGUCCAAGCGCGGAUACAUUGGCAUCGAGUACUACGGCCGCACCGUCACCGUCAAGAUACUGCCCGUCGGGA